AGGUGUUGUUGGGUAGGGGAGCGUUCUGUAAGCCUGCGAAGGUGGCCUGUGAGGGUUGCUGGAGGUAUCAGAAGUGCGAAUGCUGACAUAAGUAACGAUAAAGCGGGUGAAAAGCCCGCUCGCCGGAAGACCAAGGGUUCCUGUCCAACGUUAAUCGGGGCAGGGUGAGUCGACCCCUAAGGCGAGGCCGAAAGGCGUAGUCGAUGGGAAACGGGUUAAUAUUCCCGUACUUGGUGUUACUGCGAAGGGGGGACGGAGAAGGCUAUGUUGGCCGGGCGACGGUUGUCCCGGUUUAAGCGUGUAGGUGUGUGUUCCAGGUAAAUCCGGUUCACUUUAACACUGAGGCGUGACGACGAGGCACUACGGUGCUGAAGCAACAAAUGCCCUGCUUCCAGGAAA
Molecule: ribosomal RNA, 399 nt
Filed under: Salmonella enterica subsp. enterica
Lineage: Bacteria; Pseudomonadati; Pseudomonadota; Gammaproteobacteria; Enterobacterales; Enterobacteriaceae
Also listed under: 1 other name
Description: partial 23S ribosomal RNA
Rfam family: Bacterial large subunit ribosomal RNA
Source: RNAcentral